RNAcentral lists this long non-coding RNA (2088 nucleotides) under Triticum aestivum (bread wheat). RNAcentral describes it as "long non-coding RNA (TAES_LNC028336)". Lineage: Eukaryota; Viridiplantae; Streptophyta; Magnoliopsida; Poales; Poaceae. The record is from RNAcentral.
GAAGACACCGUCUUCUUCAAGUUUCCACGUUGACCUCCAAAGGAAAUGGCCGCAUAGCAGCACGGCAUCUCCUCCCCAAUCGAUUCAUCUUCCACAGCAAGGUAUCUUUCGUCUCUCCCAUAAGCUUAGCCUCCUUCUUCAUUCUUUUCUCCAGAAGCUUAGAUACGUUUUGCUCCCCAUUUUUGUUUCUUUCCCGCACACUGUUUUGGUUGAUUUCAGUUCUUGGUGACAUAGUUCCUCUUCAGGAGAAUAUCAUACGGAAACCAAUAUUCGAUGAAAACUUCGUGGAAACCAUACUUCAAAGUUUUGAAAAAAUCUGAAGAAAAUAUGGGAUGUUAAGAAGGUGAUGUUUUAUUGCCACGCAAAAUUUCAAUUGAAACACACUACGAGAUGUGAGCUAUAAAAAAGACAAAUCCAGCCCUGAGUACUGACAUUACUAUUUGGCACUAUUCAACCUUGAUUUUGUCUUUUUCAUAACUCACAUCUCAUAAUGUGUUUCAACUUGAAUUUUUGUGUGGCAAUAAGGGUGUGUUUGGUUUGAGCCCCAGCUAGCCCUACCAAUUUUUGGUAUGACCAAAUCAAGGGCAUGACCAAUAUAUUGGUAAGUAGUUUUUGUUUGGAUUGUAGCCCAGUUGCUGCCCAAAAUUUUGGCAAGUCUUCCGUUUGGUUUGCACCGCUGACCUGAAUGACUACACUAGACUUUGGAAUACUUCACACGUCUAUUAUCUAAAUAAAAACAAAGAUGCAUACAAGAGAAAAGAAAUAUGCUUGCCAACAGAAUGACACGAGACAGCCACAGCCGGAAGUUUUUAGUACACUAGUCCUCGCCCAGCGCAGGAAAAUAUCACGCUGCAUGCACUUUAUUUUUUUUAAGCACCAAACUGCAUGCCCUCACUAAUCGUUGCGACUAAAACGACUAAUUACAGGCCAAAAGAUGCAAAACGCCCGGCUGCAUGCACCGCAUGUGACAUUACAUGGACAAAGUCGCGACGCCAAUUUAUUGGCGGAGCUCUUCUCCGCCCAUGGCUUGCCCGCGUGUUGGCGCGAUUUACACGGGCCCGCGGCGGCUGUGCUGGGCACGCCAAUUUUUUGGUAGUGAUCCAAACAGGUAACAAAUGCCAUGGGCUAGCCAAUUUUUUGGUGUGGUCAGAUUUGGUGGUCAUCCAAACACACCCGGAAACAUCAUCCUCUUAACAUCUCGUAUUUUUUUUGAGAUUUUUUUAAAACUUCAAAACAUCUUCUUCUCGUGGUUUUCACCGGUUUCCACCGAAUGUUGGUUUCUGUAUGAUAUUUUCCCGCCGUUCCUCUUAUGCUGAGGUCGGUGCUUGCCUAGGCAGGCUCAGGUUUUAGAUCUGGCCGAUCUUUAGUUUCAGAGAGAAUCCACGCAGAAUUUGUGAUUCUCCUUAGAGCUAUUCUGAGAUUGGGCAUGCUUCUAUUCGUCAGUUGGACUCAGUAGUAGGUUGAGAACACUUUUCCUAUUCUUCAUGAGGCUGGUUCCCACGAUUAACUUGUUUUAUAUAUUUUUGAUAUGAAGAUGUGAUGCACAUGGCCGAUCUACUCAGUUUGUUGGAGUGAAGAGUCCAUCUUUGCUACCAAAGAGGAUAAUUGAUAAUGAGCUUGAAAUAGGCAGGGUAUUGCUCUGAAGUGUGCUAGUUGCACCAGCAAUCUGCCGUAGCGAGGGAUGAGUGAACGUGAUGCCUAGGUUCAUGAGUAGGUGUCAAGUGGACAUGGCAGUGACAACAAAAUUAGACCUUUCCCCUCCUCUCUAGUCUAGACAUAGGCAAUCAGGUGGUUCCCGUCCUCAGCAGGCCGCUCGCCUCCGAUAGCAGCCUAGGCAAUCGGGAGUUAGGGGGAACCCUAAUCUGACUUCGGUUUGUAGAUAUAGUCGUCCAUGUUAGGAUUGCUCUCCCUGCUACCUAUUUGCCUCCCAGGUGCAAUAUUUCCCAGAGAGAAUUCCUUAUUUGACACUCCCUUAAAAUCAUGUUCCUUAUUUGACACUGAAAAAAAUUUCUUACCUAUAUGACCUAUAGUCUUAAUUUUUUUUCCCUAUAUGACACUCUAGUUCAUUUUAUACACGUGAAAAGACCU